RNAcentral lists this ribosomal RNA (448 nucleotides) under uncultured bacterium. Its description in RNAcentral is "SSU rRNA". It matches the Rfam family "Bacterial small subunit ribosomal RNA", at positions 26 to 518 of the family's 1533-position model. The record is from RNAcentral.
AGAACGAACGCUGGCGGCAGGCUUAACACAUGCAAGUCGAACGCUCGUAGCAAUACGGGAGUGGCAGACGGGUGAGUAACGCGUGGGAACAUACCCUCCGGUUCGGAAUAGCUCAGGGAAACUUGGAUUAAUACCGGAUACGGCUGAGAGGCGAAAGAUUUAUUCGCCGGAGGAUUGGCCCGCGUUCGAUUAGCUUGUUGGUGAGGUAACGGCUCACCAAGGCGAUGAUCGAUAGCUGGUCUGAGAGGAUGAUCAGCCACAUUGGGACUGAGACACGGCCCAAACUCCUACGGGAGGCAGCAGUGGGGAAUAUUGGACAAUGGGCGCAAGCCUGAUCCAGCCAUGCCGCGUGAGUGAUGACGGCCUUAGGGUUGUAAAGCUCUUUCGCUCGGGACGAUAAUGACGGUACCGAGAUAAGAAGCCCGGCUAACUUCGCGCCAGCAGCCGC